This is a long non-coding RNA of Monomorium pharaonis (pharaoh ant), 5543 nucleotides long. RefSeq lists it as uncharacterized. The record is from RefSeq and is a predicted model, not a curated record. The transcript is spliced from 4 exons. NCBI's taxonomy places the organism in Eukaryota, Metazoa, Arthropoda, Insecta, Hymenoptera, Formicidae.
AAGUUUGCAAACGACACACAGAUUUUACAUAUCGCGAAAGUAAAUUGGCAGGAACGUUCAACAGUCAAUUUGGCUUGAUCGCCAAGCGAUGCCGAAGCGUGAUUAUCGAUUCGACGGGUACCACCUGUACACGCGCGGAUGGCAGCGAAUUGUACUUUCGCAGUUACGGGCGUACAAAUUGCGGCAUGCCGUAUCAGUCACCGCCGAUAAGCCAGCCGUUGCUGCGCGGCCGAUUAGCAUAAUUUCAGAAAUGCCGGGAGUCAUCCUGGCGCACGUGAUGCGUCUGUUUCCGACCGAUAUAUGCCGAAAAGCGAAAGCGCACGCUGCACCUGCAUAUCCGCGUUAUGCACCUCAACACGCGCCAUAAUGCGCGAAUUAUUCCCGCGAAUGCGGGGAAUUCCGCUCGGUUAGAUGUAUUGUCGUUCCUCCGACGGAAUUAUUCCGAUCCUAUUUCGCUCGCUGGGAGAUUAUCGAAACUAAUUGGAAAUAAAAUUUUAUGCUCCGUACGCUUUCAACCAGCUAUUAGAUCCCUUUAAUUACAUUUUAACUACCUAUAAUUAUAACUCAAUUUAAUCAUUGUCAAUGUUUCAUCAAAGUCUUAACAGUAAAUAAUUUUACGAAUUCUUAUUAAAAAUAAUACUCUCGUUCCUAGUUUCACACACUUAAUAUCUGUAUUUGAUCAAAUGUUAUGGGUAUUUCAUUUCUAUAGCUAUAAAGUAAAUUAUGAUGGCCAUACGGAGAAGAUGGUCAAUGGUUACAAUUUCUCCAAUAAUUGCUAAAUAAUGUGUUUUGUACUUAUUUUCAAAGAUAAUCAAUGUUUACCGUGCGUAGUUUAUGUGCGUAUACUUUUCAAAAUAACAGUAUUGUAGAUAUUAUAUCAUGUUUUUACUUUUGACUGCCUGCAAAGUUUUUCGCGCGUUCAUUAAAAAUUGCCACAAUGUCGAAUAAAUUACAAUUGAGCAAAAUCACAAUUAACGUUAGACAUGUAACAAAGGUAUGUAAAUUAUAAUGUGUAAAUAUAUCUUUUAUUUCUUUGUCUAUUCUUUAAUAAAUACUAUGACUAUCUUUCUCUCACAGUUUAGUAAAAUGGCCCAUGACUUCUCAGAGUAUUUAUGUACAUAUGUUAUAAAAAAGACAAAAAUUAAGUUGCACGCCUAAUAUUUUAAAUUUAAUAUGUUUUUUCAGUACUGGCAAUGAGGUAAAUAGAUGCUCAACUUAUAUAAAUAUUUAAUAUUAAAAAUGUUUAAAAAUAUAAUUACAUGUGAUAAUAUGUGGCAUUAAAACUAAAUAUAUAAAAUCAUAAGCUUUUUUUAUAAUUUUAUAAAUGUCAAGUAUGUAAAAUACAUAUGGCCAAUCCGUCCUAUGAUACUAUGCCCAUCUUCUCUCUAAUAGUUAUGAAAGAUGGCCAAUGUUUAUGUUUCAAUAUUUUGAUAAUAUAAAAUUUUUAUUAAAUAUUGUCUCUUUGAUAUCGAUAGCGUUACAUGCUUUGAAGUUCAAUAAGUCAUUUUCUCAUGAAGCUUCAAUAAAGUCAUUUUCCAAACGUUACUCAAACAACAAUAAGAAUAAAAGUAUGGUUUCUAUUUUAAAAACUAUGGCCAUCAUACCCGUGUUUUACCCUAAUAGAUCCUAUUAAUGACGCAAUUAAGAUUAAUGUUUCCCGGAAAAGCUUCCGAUAUUGCUCGUUAACGUUAAUUACUACGACAGUUUCGCUCGUUGUCAGUAAUUAAUUUAAUCGCACCGUUUCAACUUGAGGGGUAAGUACACGAUGCGAUAUUAACGUAUCCUAACUAAGCUACAAAUCGAGCGAGGUACGGGUAAUAACACUGUAUACAUCUAUAAGUAGAUUUGCUGAAGAAGACGUUGCUCAAUGCCUCCCGCUCGUUCGUCCGCUCGUGAAAGCGAGACGACACACGUGCGCCGUCGCCAUGGUAUUACGUCGUUUGACGUAAUUAGCAACCUGUCAUUAAUUCCCCGACGUGCUAGUGCGUCCUACGGGAGGAAACUGCCGUGCCUACGGAAACGAUAUGACCUUUAUCGCGCGGACAUUUUGCGCCCACGCACGGCGAGGAACAAGUGCAUAAGUUAACACGAUACGCGGUCGGUCGGACGGUGAUUUCGCGUUAUUCAUUCGGAAGCGCGAACAAAAGUGGAACUUCGUGGAGAAAGAAAGAGGAGAGGAACGCGUUAGGGGGGCCCCCACGCGAAUGCGCGCGAUCUAAUUGGAUUUAUCGCCUCCCGCAGUUGAUCUCGUUCCGACAGAGAGAGAUACGUAUUAGCACAGAAUUCGCGGAGAGGACAUUGGUUAAAAGGGAAAUCUUCGUGCAACAAGCGGCGUGUGCUAAAUGGAUUUAGCCGAGUACUCAACCGCGCAACGUGACAUUGAUAAUUUGCCACGAAGACCAAGCGUGGACGAGGAAAUGUAAGAGACAAUAGGGUCGGUUGGCACCGUAUCCUUCCUGUUAUGUAAUGCUUUACACUCUCUAGUUACACGACCGAAUCCUUUGAGUAAUUAUGUUGAUUUGGAUCAUUAAUGUUUAUUAGUAAUAUGACGAUAAAUAGUCAUUAUUGUUAGUUUAGUUUACAUAUUAUAAUUAUUAUAAAAUUUGAUUUAAUCUAAUUGAUAAUAAUGUUCUCGAUAAUUUCUCUCUUUGUAAUAUAAAAUUAUUUAAUGUUAUCACAUUCGUUCCUUUAUAUUUACGUAAUGUUACAAAUUUAGGUAUUUAUAAUAUGUUAUCGAGUUUAAAAGCAUUUGUUUUUAAAUAAAUAUAAAGUACGUAAAUCUCUCUACCCAGACUGAUCCAUCCUCCCUUUGGUGCUGUCAGACGUAGAUGUUGGUGGUUAAACGAAGUUGUUUGGUCCCAUCAGAGACGGUUACGGGAAUGCUUCCUUUCUUCCCAGUACCAGCAAAUAUUUUGUCAUUUGUAGUACGCUACGGACUUAGCGCAGACCGAUAUCAUUUAUCCGUCGGUCCGAAACAUUCCGUCUUCUUUUUACAGAAAUUAAGUUUCAGUGUAUUUUUCGAUUCUCCUUGGAUUCUUCGAGUUUCUAUUGAUACAUCGCUGAUGACUCGUCUUGAAUCGCAUCAUUCGGAAGAUUCAAUAACAGUCAGAAAUUAUCUGAUUUUAUGGGCAAAGUUCAUUUUUACUUGCGAGCAGGAAACUUUGAGCGCCCGUAUAGUUUUCGUAAUUUCGAUCCAUUGUAACGCGAAAACAUAAACAGAGUCCCUCUCCUAAAAAUUCCUAGUGAUUCCGAAUAGAAAUUUCUGUUGCACAAUUCCAUGUCGGAAACCGGGUUUCGUUUGCGCAAAGCGUGGCGAAACUGUCACAGAGCUUGUACCACGAAAAACGUCGAUAAAGCCUGUCACACGGCGCUUACGCAAUCCAUGGCAAAAUCCUUGUAAACCCGGCGCGGCCAAAAUGUCCGUAAAUCUUGCGCAACCGCGGCCACAUACGAUCAGCUCCGACACGCCGUCGACCAUUUGCUAUUCACUUGGCGGAAUAAGUGUACACGCGUUAUUGUUUUCGGCCCGCAUGCGGGACUCGAACUGCCGUGUAUACAUUACACUUCAAACGCGUAUAAUUCAAUGCCGUUUGAUCAAACGAACGGGAUAACGUAACGCAUUUUGAAGAGCAACGGUGAAAGAUUAAAGAAUACGCAUUUCUUCACAAAACAAUAACAAUAACAAACAAAAACAAUAAUACGUAAAUAUAAUAAAGAAAAAUAUUUUGGUAUAAUGUAAAAUUGUUUUCCUAAAAAAAAAAAUCUUCCAAUUGAACAUUCAUAUUUGGAAAUUCCGUCACGUUUUGAAACGCGAGAAGUGUUACCUCGUACACCUCGAGAUUUCUAAUCGCAAAAGAAAAAAAAAACGCUAGACGACCCGAUGAGUUAAUCGACGCACCAGGUGGAAUCGACCGUAGGAUAAAGUGGCAUCAUCGUCACGUUUGACGUAUGGCUGUCCCUAUUUGCGAAGCGUCACCAUAAGCUAGAACAUUGUCGGAAUCGCGAAGAACAGUUGGGAUUUGACGGCCGGCCAACCGGCGCUGCCGCAAUCUGUGUGUGUGUGUGUGCUCUCGCUAAUUGCGUAACGGUUGGCACAAUCGGUGCUCCGGUACACGGACGAUACACAUCGAGCACGUGCUCACCUGCGACGACGACGACGACGACGACGACGACGACGGCCGGCAGCUAAGCACUCGAGGAACUGUUGAAAUUUUCCGCGCGUGCAACUGCGGUCUCUCGGCCGACGACGGCCGUCGUUUAGGCUUUAACUCCGAGAGGCGCGCUUUUGUUAGCGACAAACUAACUUUCCCGCGAUGAUUAACGUCGGCCGCCGUUUGCCGGCCGCCGCGUUCUAAUUUGCAAUUAGCUGCAUUGUAAGCUCGCGCGAACGUGGUUGUUCGUUUCUGCGAGAGAAAGGGAGGACACACACACACACCGUUCGAAACGCUCGCCGAAAAUACAUUCCGAGAGGGAGGUGGCGGGGAGCGACACACCUACACUCCUGAGCUUCCGAAUGCGCUUUGGCAGCAGCCUCCGAAAGCUCUUGCGGCAAUCCUUCUUAACCCGAUCGCAAACACCAACGAGGCAUCCCGGCGGCUGGCGAAGCCAAUAGCGAUUCGGCACGGCGCCCUUGCCUUUUCGGUGGCAUCCGAAAAUAUCGCGCGGAAGCUCGCGCUAAUACUGCGAUCCCGGAAUGGAGGACGAUCGCCAUCGAUAAGGACGCUUUCCUAACAGCAAUGGGGAAUGUCGUCAAUUUUUUUUUUUUUUUUUUUUAAAGAACUAAGUCAGAAUGCGCCGGGGAAUACGGAAAAUCGAUUAAUCUCUCACCGCGCUUCUCCGAAGUCGAGAGACGGUCGCCGGCGGUUGCGUAACGCGCGUGCCAGAAGAGCCGCGUAUCGUAUCUGUGAUUCAGUUUGCUGCACGCGCGUAAGAGUGAAUUGAACGAGAACGAGAGUUUCGAGUGCGAUCGGAAUCGCACGGGCGAAUCGCACGUUUCCGUCUCCCCACAGUCGCGUCACCACGAAACACGGCCAUCAAAUCAAAUCACAUUAUCGAUUGCGCUACGGCGGUAAGGACCGGAAUUGUGCGGUUUUACUGUCACCGUCAUAAAAUACCACCGCAGAACAUCGACCGUGAAACUGUGCCAACCGACGAGGAUUAGGUUAACCAGCGAACGAUUAAGGUACUUCGGACGCUCGCCAAGGAUUUUAAUAAACCGCUGCUACAAAUAAGGUUAACGACGUUCGUAACGUCUUUCAGGUUGACUGAAGAAACCCCGCUCUUCCAUUAUUCUGGUCUAAAUAAAACUGUAAGUGGCGCGAACAAUGGCUGUGUGCGACGACUCUUAUUUCCGGUCGAAAGUUGAAGUUACGCUAGCGUCAACUGGUUAUGAAGAACAUUAUUGGAAAUCUUUUCGAGAAAGAUAACACAUACAUACGUUAAAAUGUAAGAGUAGCUGACGUACAAUGUAUUCUCGGAUCAAUUGGAUAUGGGAUAUUAAAAGAAACUAAGAUAGAUCUUAUUUCAUAAAUUAUCUCAAUAGA